Molecule: long non-coding RNA, 1784 nt
Organism: Carassius auratus (goldfish)
Lineage: Eukaryota; Metazoa; Chordata; Actinopteri; Cypriniformes; Cyprinidae
Exons: 3
Source: RefSeq, a predicted model, not a curated record
CAGUUGAUCUGGAGCACGUGCGCACAGUAAAGAUGGAGAAGCAUCAGCGAUUCUGUCAGGAGAACGGACUCAUCAGUCAGUUUGUGUCUGCGAAGUCAGGAGACUCUGUGUUUCUGUGUUUCCAGAGGCUGGCGGCUGAGAUUGUGGGCAUCAAGCUGAAUAAGGCUGAGAUGGAGCAGGCUCAGCCCGUGGUUAAAGCAGACAUCGUGAACUACAGUCAGGAGACGCUGACUCGAACCCUCAACCCUCUGCGCAGCUCCAUGUGUGUCAUUCAGUGAUCAUCACACAGCGUCUCCGUCUCGCUCGCGUCUGUCCUCUCUCUGUGUCCUGUAACGGACACACGGAUCCUGCUUCACACUUCCCUCCUCUUUCUUUGAUGUUCCUUUGCCAAUUGGACAUUGUGAGACACUAAAAUAAUCUUUAAUGUGUGCGAGAACCAGAGCUUUCACGUGUUUGCUUGUGUGACUCGAGACGGAUCCUCAUCCUCAUUAGAGGAAUGUUGUGUAUAAAUGCCUCUGGAGUUCGUUCAGCCGAGAACGAGCCGAGAUCUCACAUCUGCGGGAGAAUUCACUCGCACCGACGGAGAACUGACUUCCUCCGCUCAGAGGUUAGAGCAGACGAGUGUGUUAGUGAGCGUGUGUGUGUGUGUGUGUGUGUGUGUGUGUGUGAGAGAGAGUAAUAAGAGGAAGUACCUUUAUAGAAAACCAUUCUGAUGCAGUUCAAUAUAAAUAACUCUUCACAUUGAGCAUCACAAUCGUAAUGACUUGUUUUACACUGUAUUUUUAAUGCUUUUUAAAUUUAAUUUGGCAAAUCUGGAGGGAAUAUCUCAAAUGCAUGGACACCCCCCCCUCCCUGUGUUCAUGACUGAUAUUAGACGUUUAUGAGCAUCAUAUUGGAGCCGUGAUCUGCAGUAAAGCAGGAGUCACACAGAGACGUCUUGUGUAGAGUGUUUGCAGACGGCCUGUUAACUCUAUUUGAGUGAUUUGUUGGUUUGUGUGAGCGUGAGUGUUUUCAUUUCCACGGGAUCCUGUACUUGGAGAAGUUUCAUUGUAUGAUCUCUGAAUAUUAGCUGUAUUUGUAAACUCAGGCCUGUCCAGGUGUUGUAGAGCGCUGUCGUUUAGGAAUAAAUGUCACGACACACGUUGACAUGGAUUUCAGUUUUUUUUCUCUCUUCCCUCUCCAUCAUCUUCAUUCCACUGGAAAAGUAAAAUAUGUCUUUUCCAAAUCCCACGGUCAGAAGAUGUAUUAAUGCGGAGGAGGAUGUAGACAUGUGGUCAGGAAUAUUGUCCAAUAUUAAUAUCAUUCAAACGUCUGCCUGUAAUUUACUGAAACGUGAUGCCAGUGAGUAAUUGUGCUUGAAAUAGUCUCGUCUUGACAGCACUUACACACGAGCUGCUCAGAACGAGUCCAGCGCUCAUCACUUCUUCUGAUGGAGAACUAACACACACUCCAAACUUCAGUGUUCAUGUGGUCCACAUGUCAUGUGUUUCACACGAUCAGUUUGUUAAGAUGGGAAUGGUUCCUCUUGACCUUCACUAAGAGAGAAGAAACAUGUUCACUGCACUGCAAAAUAAUUUAUUAUAGUAACUAUCAUAGGUGCAUCUUUGUAAUGUUUCUGCACUGGAAAAACAUGCGUUCACACCGAGAAUGGUAACUAUAUUAGCAUUCACACCGAUCACAAUAAUGUUUACUGUAAGUGUGCUGUAGUUUAUCAUCUGCCGCUUUAUAUGCUGGGACUCUGUAAAGUUUGUUAAUCAGCUGAAAAAUAAACAUUUUAAACCAUA